This 885-nucleotide ribosomal RNA is filed under the name Descomyces sp. PDD 105148. RNAcentral describes it as "eukaryotic LSU rRNA". It matches the Rfam family "Eukaryotic large subunit ribosomal RNA", at positions 64 to 935 of the family's 3401-position model. Lineage: Eukaryota; Fungi; Basidiomycota; Agaricomycetes; Agaricales; Bolbitiaceae. The record is from RNAcentral.
ACUAACAAGGAUUCCCCUAGUAACUGCGAGUGAAGCGGGAAAAGCUCAAAUUUAAAAUCUGGCGGUCUUUGGCUGUCCGAGUUGUAAUCUAGAGAAGUGUUAUCCGUGCUGGACCGUGUACAAGUCUUCUGGAAUGGAGCGUCAUAGAGGGUGAGAAUCCCGUCUUUGACACGGACUGCCAGUGCUUUGUGAUGCGCUCUCAAAGAGUCGAGUUGUUUGGGAAUGCAGCUCAAAAUGGGUGGUAAAUUCCAUCUAAAGCUAAAUAUUGGCGAGAGACCGAUAGCGAACAAGUACCGUGAGGGAAAGAUGAAAAGAACUUUGGAAAGAGAGUUAAACAGUACGUGAAAUUGCUGAAAGGGAAACGCUUGAAGUCAGUCGCGUUGGCCAGGAAUCAACCUUGCUUUUGCUGGGCGUACUUCCUGGUUGACGGGUCAGCAUCAAUUUUGACCGUUGGAAAAAGCUCAGGGAAAUGUGGCAUCUUCGGAUGUGUUAUAGUCCAUGUUCGCAUACAACGGUUGGGAUUGAGGAACUCAGCACGCCGCAAGGCCGGGUCUUUGACCACGUACGUGCUUAGGAUGCUGGCAUAAUGGCUUUAAUCGACCCGUCUUGAAACACGGACCAAGGAGUCUAACAUGCCUGCGAGUGUUUGGGUGGAAAACCCGAGCGCGUAAUGAAAGUGAAAGUUGAGAUCCCUGUCGCGGGGAGCAUCGACGCCCGGACCUGACCUUUUGUGAUGGCUCCGCGGUAGAGCAUGUAUGUUGGGACCCGAAAGAUGGUGAACUAUGCCUGAAUAGGGUGAAGCCAGAGGAAACUCUGGUGGAGGCUCGUAGCGAUUCUGACGUGCAAAUCGAUCGUCAAAUUUGGGUAUAGGAGCGAAAGACUAAU